GAUGAAGAACGCAGUGAAAUGCGAUAAGUAAUGUGAAUUGCAGAAUUCAGUGAAUCAUCGAAUCUUUGAACGCACAUUGCGCCCCCUGGUAUUCCGGGGGGCAUGCCUGUUCGAGCGUCAUUUCAACCCUCAAGCUCUGCUUGGUAUUGAGUCCAUGUCAGCAAUGGCAGGCUCCAAAAUCAGUGGCGGCGCCGCUGGGUCCUGAACGUAGUAAUAUCUCUCGUUACAGGUGCUCGGCGUGCUUCUGCCAAAACCCCAAUUUUUCUAUGGUUGACCUCGGAUCAGGUAGGGAUACCCGCUGAACUUAAGCAUAUCAAUAAGCGGAGGAA
RNAcentral lists this unclassified non-coding RNA (329 nucleotides) under soil metagenome. RNAcentral describes it as "partial contains 5.8S ribosomal RNA, internal transcribed spacer 2, and large subunit ribosomal RNA". The stretch from base 1 to 120 matches the Rfam family "5.8S ribosomal RNA", at positions 35 to 154 of the family's 154-position model. The record is from RNAcentral.